This 206-nucleotide long non-coding RNA is filed under the name Mytilus galloprovincialis (Mediterranean mussel). The record is from RNAcentral. Lineage: Eukaryota; Metazoa; Mollusca; Bivalvia; Mytilida; Mytilidae.
CAUGGUUUUCUACGGUUUAAAAUGGAAUUUAGAAUUAAAUUAUAAGAAAUGACUGUAAUAUUUUUUCUGUCUAUUCGAAAUAACAUAAAAAAUGUGGUGCACACUGUUAAAUAACCCGCUACGCGCAUUAUUCAGUGUGCACCAAAUUUUUUAUGUUAUUUCUUCAUAGACAGAAAAAAUAUUACAGUCAUUCCUUAAAUAAUUUA